UACGUAGGGGGCGAGCGUUGUCCGGAAUCAUUGGGCGUAAAGCGCGUGUAGGCGGCUCGUUAAGUCCGGUGUGAAACCUUGGGGCUCAACCCCAAGCCUGCACUGGAUACUGCCGAGCUAGAGUCCGGGAGGGGAGAGCGGAAUUCCUAGUGUAGCGGUGAAAUGCGCAGAUAUUAGGAAGAACACCGGUGGCGAAGGCGGCUCGCUGGACCAGCACUGACGCUGAGGCACGAAAGCGUGGGGAGCAAACAGG
RNAcentral lists this ribosomal RNA (253 nucleotides) under uncultured bacterium. RNAcentral describes it as "partial 16S ribosomal RNA". It matches the Rfam family "Bacterial small subunit ribosomal RNA", at positions 524 to 776 of the family's 1533-position model. The record is from RNAcentral.